This 2448-nucleotide ribosomal RNA is filed under the name Clostridioides difficile. RNAcentral describes it as "23S ribosomal RNA". It matches the Rfam family "Bacterial large subunit ribosomal RNA", at positions 351 to 2819 of the family's 2925-position model. The record is from RNAcentral. Lineage: Bacteria; Bacillati; Bacillota; Clostridia; Peptostreptococcales; Peptostreptococcaceae.
CCCACCACAGAAGGUAAUAGUCCUGUAUGUUAAACGAGAAGACUUCAGAUAUGAUCCAGAGUACCACGGGACACGUGAAACCCUGUGGGAAGCAGGAGGGACCACCCUCCAAGGCUAAAUACUACCUAGUGACCGAUAGCGUAUAGUACCGUGAGGGAAAGGUGAAAAGAACCCCGGGAGGGGAGUGAAAUAGAACCUGAAACCCUGCACUUACAAGCUGUGGAAGCACAUUUCUUGUGUGACCGCGUACUUUUUGUAGAACGGGCCAACGAGUUACGUUAAGUAGCAAGGUUAAGCACUUAAGGUGUGGAGCCGUAGCGAAAGCGAGUUUUAACUGAGCGUUCAGUUACUUGACGUAGACCCGAAACCGGGCGACCUACCCAUGAGCAGGAUGAAGCGAAAGUAAAAUUUCGUGGAGGUCCGAACCCACGAGCGUUGAAAAGCUCGGGGAUGACUUGUGGGUAGCGGUGAAAUUCCAAUCGAGCCCGGAGAUAGCUGGUUCUCCCCGAAAUAGCUUUAGGGCUAGCCUCAAGGUGAGAGAUACGGAGGUAGAGCACUGAAUGUCCUAGGGGGUAUUGCACCUACCGAAGACUAUCAAACUCCGAAUGCCGUCAUCUUAUACUUGGGAGUCAGACUGUGGGUGAUAAGAUUCAUAGUCGAAAGGGCAACAGCCCAGAUCGUCAGCUAAGGUCCCUAAAUGUAAGUUAAGUGGUAAAGGAUGUGGGAUUGCACAGACAACCAGGAUGUUGGCUUAGAAGCAGCCACUCAUUCAAAGAGUGCGUAAUAGCUCACUGGUCGAGUGAUCCUGCGCCGAAGAUUUCCGGGGCUAAAACUUACUACCGAAGCUACGGCAUCAGUAAUGAUGGGUAGGGGAGCUUCCCAUACGGGUUGAAGCAUGACCGUAAGGACAUGUGGACAGUAUGGGAGUGAGAAUGUUGGCAUGAGUAGCGAGAUGUGGGUGAGAAUCCCACAGGCCGUAAACCCAAGGUUUCCAGGGGAAGGUUCGUCCGCCCUGGGUUAGUCGGGACCUAAGCUGAGGCCGAAAGGCGUAGGUGAUGGACAACAGGUUGAUAUUCCUGUACUACCGAUAACCGUUUGAGAGAAGGGAUGACACAGUAGGAUAAGCUAAGCACACUGUUGGUUAUGUGUGCCCAAGCAUUGAGGCAGUCAAAGUAGGCAAAUCCGCUUUGAUAAUGCUGGGAUGUGAUGGGGAGCGAAAUUUAGUAGCGAAGUAGCUGAUUUCACACUGUCAAGAAAAGUCUCUAUCGAGGUUAAAGGUACCCGUACCGCAAACCGACACAGGUGGGUGAGGAGAGUAUCCUAAGGCCAGCGAGAGAACUGUUGUUAAGGAACUCGGCAAAAUGACCCCGUAACUUAGGGAUAAGGGGUGCCACCAUCAGGUGGCCGCAGAGAAUAGGCCCAAGCGACUGUUUACCAAAAACAUAGGUUUCUGCUAAGUCGCAAGACGAUGUAUAGGAGCUGACGCCUGCCCGGUGCUGGAAGGUUAAGGGGAUCUGUUAGAGCAAUCGAAGCAGUGAACUUAAGCCCCAGUAAACGGCGGCCGUAACUAUAACGGUCCUAAGGUAGCGAAAUUCCUUGUCGGGUAAGUUCCGACCCGCACGAAAGGCGUAACGAUUUGGGCACUGUCUCAACAACAGACUCGGUGAAAUUGUAAUUCCGGUGAAGAUGCCGGAUACCUGCGACAGGACGGAAAGACCCCAUGGAGCUUUACUGUAGCUUGACAUUGGGUCUUGGUACUACAUGUACAGGAUAGGUGGGAGGCUUUGAAACCAGGACGCCAGUUUUGGCGGAGCCAUCCUUGGGAUACCACCCUUGUAGUACUGGGACUCUAACCAUAGGCCAUGAAUCUGGUCUUGGGACACUGUCAGGUGGGCAGUUUGACUGGGGCGGUCGCCUCCCAAAAGGUAACGGAGGCGCUCAAAGGUUCUCUCAGUACGGUCGGAAAUCGUACGUAGAGUGUAAAGGCAAAAGAGAGCUUGAUUGCAAGACAUACAGGUCGAGCAAGGAUGAAAAUCGGACUUAGUGAUCCGGUGGUUCUGCGUGGAAGGGCCAUCGCUCAACGGAUAAAAGCUACCCUGGGGAUAACAGGCUUAUCUCCCCCAAGAGUCCACAUCGACGGGGAGGUUUGGCACCUCGAUGUCGGCUCAUCACAUCCUGGGGCUGUAGUAGGUCCCAAGGGUUGGGCUGUUCGCCCAUUAAAGUGGUACGCGAGCUGGGUUCAGAACGUCGUGAGACAGUUCGGUCCCUAUCCGUCGCAGGCGUAGGAAAUUUGAGAAGACCUGUCCUUAGUACGAGAGGACCGGGAUGGACGUACCUCUGGUGUACCAGUUGUUCUGCCAAGGGCAUGGCUGGGUAGCUAUGUACGGAAUGGAUAAGCGCUGAAAGCAUCUAAGCGCGAAGCCAACUUCAAGAUAAGAUUUCCCACCG